UGCAGUCGAACGAUGAUCCGGUGCUUGCACCGGGGAUUAGUGGCGAACGGGUGAGUAACACGUGAGUAACCUGCCCUUGACUCUGGGAUAAGCCUGGGAAACCGGGUCUAAUACCGGAUACGACCUGUCACCGCAUGGUGGUUGGUGGAAAGAUUUAUUGGUUUUGGAUGGACUCGCGGCCUAUCAGCUUGUUGGUGAGGUAAUGGCUCACCAAGGCGACGACGGGUAGCCGGCCUGAGAGGGUGACCGGCCACACUGGGACUGAGACACGGCCCAGACUCCUACGGGAGGCAGCAGUGGGGAAUAUUGCACAAUGGGCGGAAGCCUGAUGCAGCGACGCCGCGUGAGGGAUGACGGCCUUCGGGUUGUAAACCUCUUUCAGCAGGGAAGAAGCGAAAGUGACGGUACCUGCAGAAGAAGCGCCGGCUAACUACGUGCCAGCAGCCGCGGUAAUACGUAGGGCGCAAGCGUUGUCCGGAAUUAUUGGGCGUAAAGAGCUCGUAGGCGGUUUGUCGCGUCUGCUGUGAAAGCCCGGGGCUCAACCCCGGGUCUGCAGUGGGUACGGGCAGACUAGAGUGCAGUAGGGGAGACUGGAAUUCCUGGUGUAGCGGUGAAAUGCGCAGAUAUCAGGAGGAACACCGAUGGCGAAGGCAGGUCUCUGGGCUGUAACUGACGCUGAGGAGCGAAAGCAUGGGGAGCGAACAGGAUUAGAUACCCUGGUAGUCCAUGCCGUAAACGUUGGGCACUAGGUGUG
Molecule: ribosomal RNA, 754 nt
Filed under: Arthrobacter sp. 16-13
Lineage: Bacteria; Bacillati; Actinomycetota; Actinomycetes; Micrococcales; Micrococcaceae
Also listed under: 2 other names
Description: bacterial SSU rRNA
Rfam family: Bacterial small subunit ribosomal RNA
Source: RNAcentral